UACGUAGGGUGCAAGCGUUAAUCGGAAUUACUGGGCGUAAAGCGUACGCAGGCGGCUAUGUAAGACAGGUGUGAAAUCCCCGGGCCUAACCUGGGAACUGCAUUUGUGACUGCAUAGCUAGAGUCCGUCAGAGGGGGGUGGAGUUCCACGUGUAGCAGUGAAAUGCGUAGAGAUGUGGAGGAACACCGAUGGCGAAGGCAGCCCCCUGGGAUGAGACUGACGCUCAUGUACGAAAGCGUGGGGAGCAAACAGG
Molecule: ribosomal RNA, 253 nt
Filed under: uncultured bacterium
Lineage: Bacteria
Description: partial 16S ribosomal RNA
Rfam family: Bacterial small subunit ribosomal RNA
Source: RNAcentral